Poecilia latipinna (sailfin molly) is the source of this 3219-nucleotide long non-coding RNA. RefSeq lists it as uncharacterized. NCBI's taxonomy places the organism in Eukaryota, Metazoa, Chordata, Actinopteri, Cyprinodontiformes, Poeciliidae. The record is from RefSeq and is a predicted model, not a curated record. The transcript has 4 exons.
CAGUUGAUUGUCACUUUGUUUGUUAGCCUUUUUGAAGACUGUUUAGGGCAGCUUUGGAGUAUUUUUUUUCAGCUGACCCACUUUGCUCCGUUUAGCAGAUUGAUUCUGAAACUGACUGACUAAUUCAAUCUAGAAGCUUGUGUUUGGGAAGCUUGGUGCUCCUUUAGUGUUUUCUUUUGACUUGUUUUUAGUUUUAGACUGAUUUGUUUGGUUACUUAAUUGCUGAAGCUACACUUGACUGCUCCCUCACUUUCCCCCAUUAGUUGGGUCCAAGUGUACUGUUUUGUUUGAAACACUUAUUUGUAAUAAAAUUUCACCUUUUCUUUUUCUCUGUAAACAUUUUUACGUUGUCACUCCCUGAAUUCCUAGACCUGGAGUCGUGACGACAUCUUUUCUCCCAUAAUAGAUUAUCCUAUUUACUCAGAUUAUACUGGUCUGGAAUUAAAAAUUGCUUGAUCUGAAACAUUUAAAUUUGGGGGAAAAAAAAGAGUGAAUGUACUGUAUUUCGCAGCCUCCAGUCAGUAAAUGUUUAGAGGGCUUUUUUUUGUCCUGUCCUGUGUCAUAGUCUUAGAUAAACUGUAGUAGGUCUUGAUUGAUUUAACAUUCGCCUCCAGAUGGAGCUCAAACUGUUGCCACUCGGUGCUGUAAAAAAUGCACGUAUGCUUUAUCAGAAGUGGUGGAGUGUGGUAAGAUGGAUGCUAGAUUUUGCAAAGAUAACUAACAUAUUUUAGGUCAUAGUUUCAAGCUCCAGUCAGAACGAUUGGCCCAUUUGCUUUCGAUGUCAAUCAGUUCAGGCUGGCUUCUAUUUCCAGCUUAACAAAAUAGCAAUGAAGUGUUGCAACUUCAGCUGGGUAAUAAUCAUAUUAGUAGAAUACUUGUGUUUGUCUUUACGUUCUCUUUGAUUGUUGGAUAUCUUUCAUCUACUAAUAUUUUGUGCACAGCACGAAGUAAUAAUAACUUUUCUGCACUCUAACAACAAAAGGCAGUUCCCCAGGAGCAGAAGUAUGCACAAACUGACACCAACAGGAUUUUUUUUUUCUGUCACAUUUUCCCUUUACUAAUGCGUGGGUUCAAGUUAAAAGCUCGCCUCUAAUUAUUUCCCAUGUGCCUACACACCAGUCAUUUUGUCAUGUCACACAGGAAAAGGAUGUCUUACUUUAGUAAUAAACUAAUAAUAUCUCGUUUCAAUAAAGUUGCUCGUAGAAUAAUUGUCACAUGAUUAGUUUGUUUCAUGGUGUGUGUGAUCUGGCUUUAGCAGAUCAGUGUCAAAAACUUCAAGAGGAACUUCAUUCAGUUUCUCAUGCAAGCAGCUCAUUUUGCAUAUCUAAACAAUGAAGGUGGUCAUUGUUUCCUGGACAGCAGAAAUUGGAGGCGUAAAUUUCUUGGUAAAUAUACAAUUCUAUAGUGGAAAGUAAGUGAGCCAGAUAAGACUUCUUCAUCAUCCUGUCCCAAUUUGGUGUUUCCCUUUCUGACGUUGCCGACCACAGUGCUGUGACACAGAUAUAAGCAGCAGUAUUGAGACAAUGCAGGAGAAUCGAGUUCUUCUGCUGAACCUGAUAGAGCUGACUUAGUAGCUUCUUUAGAGACAGACAUGAACACCUCUGCGUUUCAGUGCUCCGUAUUUAUUGGUGUGAUGAUGGUCGUGGCGGUGUAUUCAGCAUCAGUGCACAGCUGUCCAGACAAGGAGAAGUGUGACAUUCUGCUGCGCCACAUUAAGAAUGCAUCUAACAAACUGUUAACCCAGGACCUAAAUGGACUGGUGCCAAGGGUUUAUAAUGAAGCGUGUAGGCCCCACUUCUUCUGCUUGGCGGAAAAGGUUGUGGAAAAGAAUCUUACUCAACCCAGGUUUAAAGACCUACGGAAGUACUUGCAUGAAUACAACAAUAGAACUCAGACCAACUGCCAACUGAACGAUGAAAUGGGUUAUCAUCAACUAAGACAGUUUGUUCUGAAUGUGAAGAAAUGCGCAAAUCGUCUCCUAAAUAAUACCAGAUGAAGGGACCCGAUGAAGAAUUAUGCACCUUAAGUUAUUGUAAUAUUUAUUUUUUAUAUUUAUAUAUUUCAAAAGUACAUUAAUAAAUCAAAAUGUGAUAAAUGUGUUAUGCAAGCUUUUUUUUUUUUUUUUUUUUUUAAUUUUUAGAUUAAGCCAGACUAAGAUCUUUAAAUGAACAGACAUAAUUUCACAGGGAACCUGGGUGCAUUACAUCACUUUGUGACAUCACCACUCAACAAGAACCUGAGAUCAGACAUGAAUAAUUUAUUAAAUAAAAUCCAGAUGUUUGUUGGUGUAAACAUUUGACAUACACUACAACAACAACAAAAAAAGCUAGCUUACAUCCACUUAAGACCAAAACAUAAAAAAGCCAUACAAGUGCAUAAGGGAUACAGAUACAUAGAUUUAUGGUGCAUCACAACAAGUGUUGAAAAUAAAAACUUGACUGAAGUGAAGGAAAUGGCACAGACAUAAGAGCUAAACGGCAUGCAUGCCCUUAAUGCUUCUGACCUAUUAAAGAAAACAGUUUAGAAAGUUUUACGCGCUUCAGCUGAAUUGAACUAAAUUGCAAUAGAACAAUUUGACCAACUAGAAUCCGAUUAGAGUGUAUUCAGUUUUUCAUUGAACAGAAAUAUGUUAAUUUAUGAGAAGCAAAACAGUCAAAGUUUAAUUUCUGAGAUAAAUGUGUUUAACAGGACACUUGGAAGCAGCUUUAAAGGUGUUGCUGUUUGUAGGCCAGCGUUGUGAUGUCAUUUCAAACAAUCUGACUGAAGCGCCUUGCAAAAGCCUUAACUCCCCUUGUACCAGUUCUCAUUUUGUCACGAUAUAACAAAAACUUUAAAUUAUUCAUAGACAAUCCAAAGGUGCUGAAUAUUAAAAAUGUAAAGGAAAUGGUACAUAGUUUCCAAAAAGUGUGGCGUGCAUUUGUUUUCAGCCCAUUUCCUUCUGAUAUCCCUAGAUAAAAUGCAACAUAACUUCAGAAGUCACCUCGGUGUAAAACAAAGCCCAUCUAUAUGUGAUUUAAUCUCAGUAUAAAACUGCUUUAUGAAGGAAGAAUGUUAACAGGUCAGUCUCAAGUAGCUCUGCAGGAGCUGCAGAGCUCCACAGCUCAGUUGGAAGACCCUGUUGUCAGGUCAACUACUAUUUGCACACAUCUGGUCUUUGAAUGCCACUGCUGAAAUAAAGCCCUGUUGCAGUUUGUUGCAGACCAAUUAGAGGAUCCAGCU